RNAcentral lists this small nuclear RNA (107 nucleotides) under Theropithecus gelada (gelada). The record is from RNAcentral. Lineage: Eukaryota; Metazoa; Chordata; Mammalia; Primates; Cercopithecidae.
CUACUCACUUUGGCAGCACAUAUAUUAAAAUUGGAAAGAUACAGAGAAGAUCAGCACGGCCCCUGCACAAGGGUGACAUGCAAAUUCAUGAAGCAUUCCAUAUUUUU